RNAcentral lists this ribosomal RNA (253 nucleotides) under uncultured bacterium. RNAcentral describes it as "partial 16S ribosomal RNA". It matches the Rfam family "Bacterial small subunit ribosomal RNA", at positions 524 to 776 of the family's 1533-position model. The record is from RNAcentral.
UACGGAGGAUCCGAGCGUUAUCCGGAUUUAUUGGGUUUAAAGGGAGCGUAGGCGGGUUGUUAAGUCAGUUGUGAAAGUUUGCGGCUCAACCGUAAAAUUGCAGUUGAUACUGGCAUCCUUGAGUACAGUAGAGGUAGGCGGAAUUCGUGGUGUAGCGGUGAAAUGCUUAGAUAUCACGAAGAACUCCGAUUGCGAAGGCAGCCUGCUGGACUGUAUCUGACGCUGAUGCUCGAAAGUGUGGGUAUCAAACAGG